Molecule: ribosomal RNA, 497 nt
Filed under: uncultured bacterium
Lineage: Bacteria
Description: partial 16S ribosomal RNA
Rfam family: Bacterial small subunit ribosomal RNA
Source: RNAcentral
GAUGAACGCUGGCGGCGUGCCUAAUACAUGCAAGUCGAGCGAACGGACGAGAAGCUUGCUUCUCUGAUGUUAGCGGCGGACGGGUGAGUAACACGUGGAUAACCUACCUAUAAGACUGGGAUAACUUCGGGAAACCGUAGCUAAUACCGGAUAAUAUUUCGAACCGCAUGGUUCAAAAGUGAAAGACGGUCUUGCUGUCACUUAUAGAUGGAUCCGCGCUGCAUUAGCUAGUUGGUAAGGUAACGGCUUACCAAGGCAACGAUGCAUAGCCGACCUGAGAGGGUGAUCGGCCACACUGGAACUGAGACACGGUCCAGACUCCUACGGGAGGCAGCAGUAGGGAAUCUUCCGCAAUGGGCGAAAGCCUGACGGAGCAACGCCGCGUGAGUGAUGAAGGUCUUCGGAUCGUAAAACUCUGUUAUUAGGGAAGAACAUAUGUGUAAGUAACUGUGCACAUCUUGACGGUACCUAAUCAGAAAGCCACGGCUAACUACGUG